GCCAGGUGUGGUGGCGUGCACCUGUAGUCCCAGCUACUUGGGAGGCUGAGGCGGGAGAAUUGCUUGAACCUGGGAUGCAGAGGUUGCAGUGAGCUGAGAUAGCGCCACUGCACUCCAGCCUAGGUGACAGAGUGAGACUCUGUCUCAA
RNAcentral lists this non-coding RNA (148 nucleotides) under Homo sapiens (human). The record is from Rfam by way of RNAcentral. Lineage: Eukaryota; Metazoa; Chordata; Mammalia; Primates; Hominidae.